Molecule: long non-coding RNA, 5563 nt
Filed under: Homo sapiens (human)
Lineage: Eukaryota; Metazoa; Chordata; Mammalia; Primates; Hominidae
Description: small nucleolar RNA host gene 14
Rfam family: Small nucleolar RNA SNORD116 (bases 1-92)
Source: RNAcentral
GGAUCGAUGAUGACUUUAAAAUGGAUCUCAUCGGAAUCUGAACAAAAUGAGUGACCAAAUCACUUCUGUGCCACUUCUGUGAGCUGAGGUCCAGCACAGGGGCCAUGCCAGACAAACACAUGGAGGGUGUUUUGUUUGGUCAGCACUGGUACUAUGAAACGGCCUGUGGAAUUAGACAACUAACCAGCUCACAUACAGUACAGGAAAUUACUGGACAGUUAACCUACCAAUAUAUGGUUGGGGAUUGGGUGAGAUAGAAUUCCAUGGAAUUUCAUUGCCAAACCAGUGAAGUGCUAAUUUUGACAUUUGUACCAGCUAACGUAGCUGUGAAGAAACACACCAAUACACUUCUAAGGACAGCAUAGACCAAGAUCUAGGUUUCAUAUGGAUGAAUUUAUUCUUCCCUUUGAGGCAAGACAAGAAGGAAAGAAAGUAUUGGGAAUAAUGCUGCCCUCCCAUCCUCAAGGGCCAGUGGGAACUCUAAUAUUGAUUGGUUUUCACAGAAUUCCAUGGACUUUAACUGCUGAACCAAUGAUGCACUGAUUUUGUCACUUGUACCAGCUAACGCAUCUGGGAGGCAACAAAACAAUACUCUCCUGAGGUUAAUGUGGACCAAAAACUAGAUUUCAUAUAAAAGAGUUUAUUCCUUCUACUUGAGGUGUGACAUGAAGGAAAGUAAUGGAAAUAAUUCUGCCCUCCCAUUCUCAAGGGCCAGGGGGAAUUCAAAUAUUGAACGGAAGUGAUUUUGGAAUUGCAUGGAAUUCUCACUGCCAUCCCAAAGAAAUGCUGAUCUUGUCACUCUUACCUGUUUCAUUCCCUGGGGGCAGAACAAAAGGACGCACUCCAAAGAUCGGCAUGAACCAAGAACUGGGUUUCAUAUAAAAUAUUUUAUUCUGUCCUCUUGAGAUGUGACAUGAGAAAAGUAUUGAGAAUACUUCUAUCACCUCAUCUUCAAGAAUCCGUAGGAAUUCUCCCAUGGUGGACUUUACGGUUAACCUGAACAGGUCUUGGAAAAAGGACUUUAAACAUUCUCCUGUUCUGUGGAAUAAGUAUACUUUUUUCUGGACAUACACCUUGUCAGUGAGUUCCAUGUGAUACUAGAGUUGCAUAGAUUUUUAACCUUUACGCCAAUGAAGAUCUGAGGCAAACAUUGCCCCUUUUUUAGAAGUUUGCAUUUGUCACUGAUAACUGUAAUAAUUGAUCUUGUUGAAAAGCCUGGGAAAUGAAGAUCUGAUAUGUCACUUUUACCGGCUUCCUCAACUGAAAAAGAAUACAAUGAAACACGCUGAGAAUUUUUGUGCUUUCUCAGUCUUGCUGAUGAUCUUUCUAUGGGCCUGAAGCGUGGAGAGUGCCAGAGAGGCUGAUCCUCAGCAGUGUGGCAGAGGAAAGUUGGGUGCGACUAAGGGGUAUGCGGUGCCCACAUGCCACUGGGUCCUCAGCAGUACCACCUGAUUGGAAGUGAUAUUGGUGGAAGACAACAUUUUGCCGCUUGGAAUUCUCACCUCCACACCAAAGAAGUACUGUUUUUGUCAUUUGCACCAGCUUCUUUCUCCAGGAAAGAUCAAAACGAUGCACUGCAAGUGUGAUUGGUCCAGAUAGCUGCCUUAUCCAACUGCCUCCUUUGGACCACUUCAUCAUGGGACAGCUUGAUGCAAUCUACUUGACAAGACCCUGGAACCCCACACCCCUCAUGGAACCAGUGUCCACCUCCCAGUCACAGUGUGACCCCAGGGAACUCUUGCCUGCUUGCUUUAAACCCACCACUUAAAAGUCUCCACAGAAAACCUGUUUGAAUAGUACCCUUGACCCAAUAAGGGCAUUGGCCCCUGGGUGUCUCUCUCUCUCUCUCUCUCUCUCUCUCCCUCUCUCUCCCUCUCUCUCUCUCGCUCCCUGACCUCUGCGUGUGGACUCCAGGCAUGCCAUAUACCCCUCAGGACCUGAAGCAAAAGAAUGAAUUAAAGAAAACUCCAGAGAAUGAGCUGACAACCUACUCCCUGGUCAGUGGCUCUCCAUGCCUACCUGUGGUCUCUUGGACACCCUUGCAGAAGAUGACUUCCUGGGAACUCUUCUGGGAGUGAAUGUUAUCAGCAAAUUCCCAAAACAACACCCCUUAGACAAAAAGCCUCCUCACCUAUGCAUUGCCUAGACCACCCACUAAAGGUGAUGGCCACAAAGAGGUGGAUUUGUUGAGUUGGUGCCAUUCCUUCUACUGCCAGCUUCACCAAAACAAUGACACAGUCUUCCUUCCGCAUGGAGACUCUUCUCUUUCCUGUGUUGCAGUGGAUGCCUCCUGCAGAUAAGAAAUGCUUAACUGAGAAAUGCUCAUGUUGGGAUAUCAUCGAUGAGACUUUAAUUUGGGCAUGGUGACUGUUUCCCUUGCUGCCACUUGACUCAAUCCCAGGAGCCUCAGUAGAGGAUAUAAUAUUACACAAGAUGCUCAAAAUGGUGGAAUUGCUCAGUGCUCCCAUAAAUAUACAUUUAUAAUUUUCAUUUGCCACAUGGUAAACUGAAAAAUACAGACUAUAUUAAAAAGAAACUGCAUGAUUUUUUUUCAAAAAUUCAAAGCAUAUUUAAAUAAUAUAUAAAUUAAAUGCCCUCCUCUCUUCCAAUUCUGUCCCUAUAGUUUUCCUCUAUUAAGUGAACUACAUGCAUUCUUUUAGUGGAUAGAUGCACACAAACACACAAGCCAUUAUGGGGAAGGAUCCACGUGUGUGGCCAUAUUGUAACACAUUUUUCUGCAAAUCACCUCUUUCAUUUAACAGCCCUUAUUCAAUGGCCUUUUUCUUUUUCAGUAGUACAUACACAUCUGUGUCAUUUGUUGAAUGACGACAUGAAUGUUUUGUAGAUAAAAUAUAAUUAAAUGUUUUAAGCAUUUCUCACUCAUAGAUAUUUAUGUUAGCACCAAAUUUCUGUGCAAUGAACCUCCCUAUAUAUCAGUAAUUUUGCAUUUGUCUAUAAUAUCAUAAUAAAUUACUUAUCAGUUGAAUUACUGGGAUUAAGUAUGUGCACACUUUAUAUUUAUAUUUUGAAAAUUAUUGCAAGAUUGCCUUCAAAAAUGUGGUUAACAACUUUAUCUUCAAAUGGCAAUGAAUGAGAUUGCCAGCUUUCCUACAGCCUCACAGACAAUGGAUUUUAUAAAUAUUUAACAUUUUUGCCAAUGUGAUCACCCAAACUAUUGUCUUAAAUUGUAUCUCUUUUGUUUUUGAGUUUGGUCAUUUUUUCAUGUUUAUUAGCCAUCUGUAUUUUUUAAUUUCUUCUUUAUGUCCAAUUUUGUGGGUGGGAGGAGGAUUUAGUCUCUUCCUGAUUUCGAAGAGCUCAUUUACUAUUUCGGGAAAUAAGAUUUGGAUUGUCAACCAUUAUAGCUAUUUUUUACACACUUUUCAACUUUGUUUUUGUUAUAAGAAUGUGUAUGAUUGUUACAUGUCCAAGUAUAACCAUGUUCGCUUUUAUGGCUUCUGAGUUUCAUGUCAUUUUUGGAAAGAUAUAUAUAUUGAGUCCAUAAAACCCUUCACCUAUGUUAAAUUCUAAUUCUUUUGUGUUUUUUUAAUUCAAAUUCUUAAAUCAUGAGAAAUUUUUUUGUUUUGAAAUCUUAAAGUUGCCAAGUUACUUGCCAUUACUUGCGAUUAUUUGCCAAUAAUUGCCCAUUUAUCUGUACCGCCAUCUUGCGCAUAUGCUGUACUCUCAUCUGUGACUGGCUCCAUUUUUGUUCUGUGGAUUUGUGUGUCUCUUCUUCUGCCUCCUGUCUCGUGUCUGCUCGUUGGAAGAAAUUACAGUUUAGACUGCAAUUUCAUCAACUUUAAUAAAUCAAUUGAGGGGAGAAUUGGUUUUUAAAAAUAUUAAGUAAGUCUUCGUAUCCAAGGACAAGGUAUGUCUUUUCUUAUUCAAUAAUUUUAAUUACUGUUAAUAUUUUCACUGUGGUGAUGGGAGUUUUUCUUUUAAUUUAUUUUCUUGUUCAUUUUUUGUAUCUAAAGUUUUUGUUUUGUUUUGUUUUGGGGGUAAGUUGUCACCUUACUGUUUCUUGUUGCUUUUCAGAUUUUUUCAAAGUAUAGACUAAAUCCUUCACAAAUAUUUAAAGUUUUUAUUUUCCCCCUUCAUAUUGAUCCUGAUUUUAGUUAUGUUGACAAAGUCCACAGACUGUUACUAUCAGAACACUUGAACAGUUAUGGAAAUAUUACCUACCCUUGAUUUAAUCAGAGUUUAAUGGUAUGCUUCUUUGGUUUGACUGGCACAUUGUCGCUGGUCAUUUCCUCCCAAAGACCACCAGAAAGAGCUAUGAUCAAGCAAAGCUGAGUUUGUUAAACUUACCUGCAGCAAGGGAAAACACCACCUUGAUAGGGUUUAAUAAUGUUUCAAAAUCAAGAAAUGAGGCUUUGGGGUCUGGGCAGGGAACUAAUUAGAAAUGGGCAAAAUUUGUCAUGCAAUACCUUGUGGGAAAGUGAGAUGAGGUUCUUAAUGUGAGUAUUGAUGGUGAAAUCAUUUUCUAGGUGAGCUGUUUGCCUAUAUAAAGAUGUUAUCAAUGACAGAAGAACUAUUUGCCUAGAUAAACAAACUGAAUUUAUUUAUUGGUUUACAGUUUUAUCUUGCUGGGCAGGACUCUGCUGGGGGUGGUAUCAGGUCUUAUUCCCAAUAGGUAAGUUAUUUGGAUAUGGGUGGUCUUAAUCAUCAAUGUGUAAAAUGCUGAUUUUAAGUGCGAAAUACUUUGUCUACCAUGUUAGGAAAGUCUGCCACCUUUUAUCUUUUUUAAGGAAUUUUAAUCAAAACCAGGUGGUAGAUAUAAUCAAAUUGUUUUGCAGAAUCAAUUUUCCUGUUCUCUUUAAAGACUUUUAUCACUGUGAAUUAAUUUACUAUUAUUGCAACUUCCUUUAAUUCCUUGAAUGAACAGACCCUACUGGUUUUAAAAAUGUUUUAUUCUUUUAAUUUACUACUUAAUUGUGGGUAUUUUAAUUUGAUUUGGAAUUUUUACAAGUAUACAACUAAGUGAAAUUGAUCUGUGAUUUUUCUUUUUUGUGCUAUUUUUGUCAUGUUUUGAUAUCAGAUAUUCUGGUUGUGUUAAAAUAAUUUUGAGGAUUUUCUUCUUAUACUGUGUUCUAGAGUGGGUAAAAAAGCCCUAGUCUCACUAUCAGUGUUUAAGUGAACACAUCAGUGACAUCAUCUGGACUCUCCUUUGUUUUUGCUGGUUUGGAGUUAGGACAUCUAGAAGUUUUUUUCUUUUUUUCCUUUUUUUGUAUGGUUAUUGCUUGUUCUUUGUUUUGUGUCAAAUUUAACCUGUUUUCUCUUAGCAAAUCACAGCUCAUGCAGAUUUUCAAACACAUUAGCCUUGUUAUACAAAGUGUUCUUUCAUCAUUCUAUUAAAUUUCCAUUUUCAUUCCAGUUAUAGUUAUUUCUGCUGUGCCUUUGUUAAUGAAUAAGUUUAAACAGUGGAUGUUUAGCAUCACUAGCCUUCCCCUUCCAUCUCCCUUAAUCAGGACCUUGGUAUAAUUUAUCAGGUAUUUUUUAAGGUUCUAAUUUACUUAUAUAUAUUGUUUCUGUAUUCUUUUGUUUCUUUUCUUAAUAAAUUCUUAAA